AAGGUAGCGUAAUCACCUGUCUUUUAAAUAAAGACCUGUAUGAAUGGCAAGACGAGGGUUUUACUGUCUCCUCCCCCCAGUCAAUGAAAUUGAUCUACCCGUGCAGAAGCGGGUAUAAAAACAUAAGACGAGAAGACCCUAUGGAGCUUUAGGCACACAUCAAAUAUGUAAAAAACCAAAUCUUCCAAAUAGGCCUAAAAAAUGAGAAAAACAAGUAUUAAUGAUUAAUUGCCUUCGGUUGGGGCGACCACGGGGAAAAAUAAAACCCCCACAUGGAAUGGGUAAAACUAUCCUAAGCCAAGAAAAACAAUUCUAAGCAACAAAAUUUUUGACCAAUAAACGACCCAGGGACAACAUCCCUGAGCAAUGAACCAAGUUACCCUAGGGAUAACAGCGCAAUCCUUUCCCAGAGCCCAUAUCAACGAAAGGGUUUACGACCUCGAUGUUGGAUCAGGGCAUCCUAACGGUGCAGCCGCUGUU
Molecule: ribosomal RNA, 480 nt
Filed under: Conger myriaster (whitespotted conger)
Lineage: Eukaryota; Metazoa; Chordata; Actinopteri; Anguilliformes; Congridae
Description: partial 16S ribosomal RNA
Rfam family: Bacterial large subunit ribosomal RNA
Source: RNAcentral